GUCUACCCCAAGCAUAUGACCCAAACCUGACCCAAAAAUGGCACCGGGUAAAAACAAGAAACCUGAGCCUAAAAAAACAUGCUACAGGUCAGGAUUGGGUUGAAUCUUGAACACCACUAUAUGUUAAUGACUCAGUAAGGACAAUAAAGAAGUUGAAUUGGUGUUCUAUAUAACACAAAUGUAAAAUGCAAACAAAAAAAUGUUUACACAAACUAAACAACAAGCCCAUAUAACAAAGUACAUGUACAUCUAGACAAUAUAGAAGAUAGAUGUUGCAAAUAAAUAGCUAAAACACAGCACAUCGGAGACAACUCAGUAAAUCAAAACUAUGAAAUUACCUUCCAACCAUAUAAUCCACUGUUGGCAAAAUAAUCCGCGCAUUCACAGAGUCAAAUACCCACUGUGGUUGAACA
Non-coding RNA from Arachis ipaensis, 413 nucleotides. The record is from RefSeq and is a predicted model, not a curated record. NCBI's taxonomy places the organism in Eukaryota, Viridiplantae, Streptophyta, Magnoliopsida, Fabales, Fabaceae.